GAUGAACGCUGGCGGCGUGCCUAAUACAUGCAAGUCGAGCGAACAGACGAGGAGCUUGCUCCUCUGACGUUAGCGGCGGACGGGUGAGUAACACGUGGAUAACCUACCUAUAAGACUGGGAUAACUUCGGGAAACCGGAGCUAAUACCGGAUAAUAUAUUGAACCGCAUGGUUCAAUAGUGAAAGACGGUUUUGCUGUCUCUUAUAGAUGGAUCCGCGCCGCAUUAGCUAGUUGGUAAGGUAACGGCUUACCAAGGCAACGAUGCGUAGCCGACCUGAGAGGGUGAUCGGCCAAACUGGAACUGAGACACGUUCCAGACUCCUACGGGAGGCAGCAGGAGGGAAUCUUCCGCAAUGGGCGAAAGCCUGACGGAGCAACGCGGCGUGAGUGAUGAAGGUCUUCGGAUCGUAAAACGCUGUUAUUAGGGAAGAACAGAUGUGUAAGUAACUAUGCAGGUCUUGACGGUACCUAAUCAGAAAACCACGGCUAACUACGU
Molecule: ribosomal RNA, 496 nt
Filed under: uncultured bacterium
Lineage: Bacteria
Description: partial 16S ribosomal RNA
Rfam family: Bacterial small subunit ribosomal RNA
Source: RNAcentral